CUGCAUGAAGCUGGAAUCGCUAGUAAUCGCGGAUCAGAAUGCCGCGGUGAAUACGUUCCCGGGUCUUGUACACACCGCCCGUCACACCAUGGGAGUCAGUAACGCCCGAAGUCAGUGACCGAACCGAGAGGACGGAGCUGCCGAAGGCGGGACGGAUAACUGGGGUGAAGUCGUAACAAGGUAUC
RNAcentral lists this ribosomal RNA (185 nucleotides) under uncultured bacterium. RNAcentral describes it as "partial 16S ribosomal RNA". It matches the Rfam family "Bacterial small subunit ribosomal RNA", at positions 1316 to 1500 of the family's 1533-position model. The record is from RNAcentral.